AUUAUUUUUGGCCCAUACAGUUUCCUUUGACUGGAAGUCUGAAACUGAAGAUAGGGCAUAUUGUUUUGGUUCUGAGUGGCUGGAGAUAUUGUUGCUUGAUGUCCCUAGAGCACUCGGACCCUUCCAAGAUAGAAGAUCUUUGGGAUUGACGUUCUGAUGAGAAAGUAGCAUACGGAUGGAUGGACAUGAACUAUUCAGUGGUCGAACUGCGCUAUAUUUCUUUCAUUGAGGCGAGGGUGAUUCCAGUAGAUUUUGCUUGGCGUACUCGCUUUUUAUUGAU
This is a non-coding RNA of Triticum urartu, 280 nucleotides long. The record is from RefSeq and is a predicted model, not a curated record. Lineage: Eukaryota; Viridiplantae; Streptophyta; Magnoliopsida; Poales; Poaceae.